CAAAAGUUAUUAGAUUCAUACGAACCCAUACAUAAUGAUUUAGCAAUGUCUCUAAUUAGCAUCCCAGAAUUAAUUAUGGUAGAAUGGUAGAGGAUAUACACAACAAUGAAAUAAUACAUCUGAAUUUCAAUACCUAAUGAACUUACGAUGUAUUAGCCUCAAAAUAAAAAAUAAGAAAUGCCAAAAUCAAUCAUUAUUAACGAGUGAAUCAUAAUAAGUUUUAAGGGAAAGAUAUCGUCGAAGAUUUAGCCAGAAAAAUAGAUGAACUAAAAACCAAUAGCAUCAAUUACACAUACUAAUUUGGUCUUAGUGCCUAAAAAAGAUGUCGUCCAGAACUUUUCUGACUUAAGGUCAAUUAGUUUGAGCAAUUUCAUAAAUAAAGUGAUCUCUAGACUUCUACAUGAUAGGAUGGAGGAUCUUCUGCCUCAUAUUAUUUCUCAUAACCAAUCUGGGUUUGUGAAGGGAAGAAAUAUUACUGAGAAUAUAUUGCUAGCUUAGGAAAUCAUUACUGAUAUCAGAAAGAGAGGUAAACCAACCAAUGUGGUCGGUCCUGAAGCUUGAUAUGGCUAAGGCUUAUGACAGAGUGGACUGGAACUUCUUAAUUAAGGUUUUAGAGAAGAUGGGUUUUGAUGGACUAGCGGUGGACAAUAUCUGGAGGCUUGUGGCUAAUAAUUGGUACUCUGUACUAACUAAUGGACAUGCUCAAGUAUUCCAGUCACUAGGGGUGUUAAACAAGGAGAUUCUAUAUCCCCUGCUCUAUUCAUUUUAUCUGCUGAAGUAUUGUCUAAGGCUCUUAAUCAUUUGCUUUAUAACAAUGAUUUUAAGAGCUUUAGAAUGCCCAAAUGGAGUGACAAACUUAAUCAUUUGGCCUAUGCUGAUGAUACUAUCAUAUUUGUGAAUGCAGACAAGACUUCUCUACAACUAAUCAUGGAUGUGUUGGUACAAUAUGAGGGGCAAUCAGGUCAGAAAAUCAACAAAGAAAAAAGUUUCUUCUUUAUGUAUAACAAGGCUGCAAUUGUUGUUGUUCAGGAGGUUGAAAUAGUCACUGGUUUUCAGAAAGGUAAGUUUCCCUUAAUGUAAUUGAGAUGCCCAAUUGGACAUAAAAAGAAGAAGAAACAACAUUUUUCCGAUCUGAUGAAAAAGGUGCAGAAUAAGUUACAUGCUUGGAAAGGAAAAUUAUUGUCCUUUGGAGGUAAAACUGUUCUAAUAAAUCAUGUAUUGCAUAGCAUGCCCAUCUACUUAUUAGCUGCAACCAUGCCCCCAAAAUGUGUUAUUAAGGAUCUCCAUAGAACCUUUGCUAAGUUUUUAUGGAACUUUAAAGAAGAAGAAAGAUCAAAACAUUGGGUGUCAUGGUCCAAUAUAUGUCUUCCCAAAGAGGAGGGUGGACUGGGAUUUAGAUCUUUAUUUAAUGUCUCCAAGGCUUUAUUUGCAAAGCUACGGUGGAAUUUUAGGACCAAAAAGUCCAUUUGGGCUAACUUCUUAUGGAACAAGUAUUGCAAGAAGAAUAGACCUUAGAUGGUAGAAUGGAAGGGAGGGUCUCAAGUCUGGAAACAAAUGUUGUUGGCUAGAGAUAGCAUUGAUCAAGAGAUAUGGUGGGAGACCAAGUGUGGCUACUCUAGUAUCUGAUAUGACAAUUGGACUCAAGUAGCAGCCCUUCACUACUACUCCAUGUGAAUCAUCACUGUAAUGAGGCAUUUGAUAAAGUGAGUCAGUUAUUGAUUCUAGGCAACUGGAAUAAUGAAGUAAUGGUGGAGCUCUUUAAUGAACUCAUUGGGACAGUACAUGAACUUGAAGAUUGGGAUAAACCUUGGUGGAUACCCAACUCUACAAGAAAGUUUUAUGUAGUCAGUGCUUGGGAACUCAUGAGAGAAAGAAAAGAACCUCAGGAGUUGAUGAUGAACAUAUGGGGAAAGGGUAUUCCUUUUAAAGUAUCUUUCUUUCUAUGGAGAUUAUGAAAGUUAUGAAUUCCUAUUGGAGAAGUCUUGGUGAAGAUUAAGGUAGCAGAGGAGGUUAUUUGUUGUUGCUGCAACAGGAAUGCACAGGAAACCUUUCAACACUUAUUCAUGGAGUGUCCAGACUCUAACAGAAUAUGGAGCUGAUUUGCAGGUGUUGCCGGAGUGGAAGGACCAUUUCUACAAGUUAAAGACACAAUAAUUAAAUGGUGAAAAGCGAACUGUGUGGUUAAACUGAAACCUAUGUAUAAGGCAGUACCAUCUUUUAUCAUCUGACAAAUAUGGAAAAAGAGAAACAUGAUCAGAAAUGGUGGAAAAAUGUCUAGGCAUGCUAUGGAUAUGGAGAUUAACAGAAAUCUACAGAUGAUGGCUAAACUUAGAUACCCAUUGAUUCAGGAAAUCCCAAGUAUGUGGCCUAUGAUUGUGAAGUUGUUUGAAGAAUACACCCAUAGUAUAUCUUACCAAGUUAUCAAGUGGAAGUUUCCAGAGAGGGGAUAUUACAAAUGUAAUUCAGAUGGUGCCUGCAAAGGCAACCCCGGGCCUAGUGCUUGCGGAUUUUGUAUUAGAAAUUGAAGGGGAACUAGUUUUUGCAGAAGUUCAGAGAAUUUAAGAUAGCUCAAGCCUCAAAGCUGAGGCUAUGACGAUGAAACUAGGGCUUGAACACUGUAUAAACCAUAAUUUAGUACCAGUAGUAAUGGAAGCUGACUCUCUUACUCUCAAGAAAAUUGUAGAAGGAACAUGGGAGGUGCCUUGGGCAAUCGUGAAGGAGAUUAAGAGAAUCAAGUUCAUGUUGGCUAACCACUCUGCAAUAGUGUCACACACAGUCAGAGAAAGGAAAUCAAUUGGCAAAUUUUUUUACUAACUAUAUUUUCAGUUUUGCAGGUACUAACAAAUUUCAAUUCAACUCAACACAAGGGAUUCCAAAUAAAGCAAAAGGUAUAAUUCAGUUGGAAAAGGCUAAUGUCCCAAACUUGAGAUUUAAGAAGUGUCAAAAUCGAAGAACAUUUGGGCAGACAAGGUCAAAUAGCAGCAACAAUCAGAACCAAAUGGUAACACACAUUCAAGGGCAACCCCAACAACAUUUGCAAAUUCAAAACUAACGCACUGGGUGAUAAGUUGAAGAUGAGGACGUACAUGCUGUUCUGGAUCCCUCUACAGUGGUAUUAGCAUGUCGUUGCUCAUUCUGCAAAAAGGAGAAGGGACAAUUGGGAAAUCCGUCAAUUAGGAUUAGUACCAAAAUAGGAGUUAUUUGGAUCAUACAUUUUCUCUAGCUCUAAGACAUACCAAUUGUGAGCUGAAGAAGUCUUCCCUGAGUUCAAUUCAUGGUAUCAGUAAGAUCUUUUGAUACCCAAAUGAAAAUCGCUCAAGCUCUAUGAUUGUGUACUCCUAGAGUCGAUAAGGGGUAGAUCCUCUUGUGUGGAUGUAUGGUAUUGGUUGGAGAGUGCUCCGGUUUUGAUGCCACCGCCACAAAAGGAAUAGCUCCCUCGGAGCUCUUACAACUUUCCUAUUCUUGGCUAUU
Molecule: long non-coding RNA, 3471 nt
Filed under: Solanum tuberosum (potato)
Lineage: Eukaryota; Viridiplantae; Streptophyta; Magnoliopsida; Solanales; Solanaceae
Description: long non-coding RNA (STUB_LNC010002)
Source: RNAcentral